GAGUUUGGAGGGUGCCGGUCAACGAAGCCACGCGAGGUAUUUGAAAGGCAAUCAGCCCGACCGUCCCCCUAGAUUCAUCGGAGAAGGAACUAGGUGAAUAUUGCCCUGGGUCCUGGUAAUUCUACCUACUGAAGACAAAAGCCCCUUCUGCUCAUAUUUCCUGAGUCAACAUGGCCGUUCCUAACUUUGAAGAGACUUUAGACAUUCUUUGUUACAAUGAGCCCAGAAGAAAGAAGAGAAAUAUUACAGCGACUGUGCCCGGGACUGUAAGACGGAUAAGACCCAGCAGAAUAACUGCCAUGGAAGGAUGCUCCUCCUGCCAAUUGGCACUUAUCAAUGACAUCGAGGGAGAGGGACAGAGUGCCUAGGUAUGAGCCUUCAUCAAGUAGUAUGAAGGCCCUACCCCAACAGAAAGUGCUGAUGUGAAGAAGUGAUGCUUUGGACAAGACUUUUCCUCCAAGUUGGUCCUAUCCAGAGGUUGGCAAACAGGGUCCCUGGACAUCAUCCCUGUUGUGUACUAUUAUGAAUAAAGUUCUAUAGGACACA
This 546-nucleotide long non-coding RNA is filed under the name Mus caroli (Ryukyu mouse). RNAcentral's name for it is "POU domain, class 3, transcription factor 3 adjacent noncoding transcript 1 (MGP_CAROLIEiJ_G0004361.1)". The record is from RNAcentral. Lineage: Eukaryota; Metazoa; Chordata; Mammalia; Rodentia; Muridae.